This 369-nucleotide long non-coding RNA is filed under the name Lathyrus oleraceus (garden pea). Its description in RNAcentral is "Pisum sativum (pea) long non-coding RNA (PSAT_LNC035964)". Lineage: Eukaryota; Viridiplantae; Streptophyta; Magnoliopsida; Fabales; Fabaceae. The record is from RNAcentral.
UUUGAAUGAGGGUAGGUAGUGGUAGCUGUUAUUGUGAGUGGGAUUUGUGAGGGGAGAGAAAUGUGAGAGAAAGAGACGUUGGGAGAGAGAUAGAGUCUAUGAGUGAGAGUGCAGUGAUAGGUGGCUGCGUGAGAGAGAUAGAUUUGAGGAAAUAAGUGAGUUUUUGCCAACUGUAAAAAAAAGUCUAUUCAAUGUUGGCUAUUAUUAUUAUUAUUAUUUAUUUAUUUAUUUAUUUUAAAAAAAAGGAUCCAAUGUCAAAAAUAUAUUAUUUUUAUUAUUAAAGAAAAUAAGUAUAUUAAAAAUUCAUUAUCCAAAUUCAAAUUAAGUAUAUAGAAAAAAUUCUAAUUAAUUAAUUUGGAUAUUUGGACA